ACCUGGCGGCGUGCCUAACACAUGCAAGUCGAACGAGAAAGUGGAGCAAUCCAUGAGUACAGUGGCGUACGGGUGAGUAACACGUGACUAACCUACCCUCGAGUGGGGAAUAACUUCGGGAAACCGAGGCUAAUACCGCAUAAUGUCUACGGACCAAAUGCGCAAGCAGCUUGAGGAGGGGGUCGCGGCUGAUUAGCUUGUUGGCGGGGUAACGGCCCACCAAGGCAAUGAUCAGUAGCCGGCCUGAGAGGGCGCACGGCCACACUGGAACUGAAACACGGUCCAGACUCCUACGGGAGGCAGCAGUGGGGAAUUUUGCGCAAUGGGGGAAACCCUGACGCAGCAACGCCGCGUGGAGGAUGAAGCCCCUUGGGGUGUGAACUCCUUUCGAUCGGGACGAUUAUGACGGUACCGGAUGAAGAAGCACCGGCUAACUCUGUGCCAGCAGCCGCGGUAAUACAGAGGGUGCAAGCGUUGUUCGGAAUUAUUGGGCGUAAAGGGUGCGUAGGCGGUGCGGUAAGUCUUCUGUGAAACCUCCGGGCUUAACUCGGAGCCUGCAGGGGAAACUGCCGGGCUGGAGGAUGGGA
Molecule: ribosomal RNA, 587 nt
Filed under: uncultured bacterium
Lineage: Bacteria
Description: bacterial SSU rRNA
Rfam family: Bacterial small subunit ribosomal RNA
Source: RNAcentral